UUCUUUUACCAAUUUAAGAAAAUAGUUUGUACACGAUCUAAAAUGUGUUAUUGUUUUCGCAAUUAUACAGAAAGAAACAGCAAUUGUUUUCCACUAAGCCCAAUUAAAUUAGAAAAAUAUUGGAUAGUGAAUUUAGAACAAUUUUUUUAUUUUUGAAUGAGAACUGAUUUAAGUCCGGUUCUUAUUGAUAUGUGUCUGCUUAUUGUUCGAUGAUGUUUUAAUACUUAAAAAAAAAAUUAUAUCGACUCAUUUAUUUUCUUUUUUCUCUAUCUUUCUCGAUAAUAUCUCUGUGAGAUCGACCAUCAGAACGACAAUCGGAGGAGAUGGAUGGGUAUCUGAGGUGAUCGGACGUUUUAACAUAAUCUCCACCGUCGCCGAGUUACAACGUCGACUGUGGUCAGCGAAUCGGCCAGUCGAUUCAUGGAAAACGAUGAGUCUCCUUCACCAAAUCGAAGUUUAUACAAUUGUCUUUGUCAUGUUUACUGGUUUGCCAGGUUAGUGUUUAAUGAAGAUCUGAGACAAAAGACCUCAAGAAGACCUCAAGAAGAGACAAAAGAAGCUGAAACCAUCGCUUCUUAGUAGUAGUGUGAGAGCUAACUUUGAGUUCUUGAAGAAACUUGGUGUUGAUUGGUGGUGUUUCCAUGACAUAGAUAUAGCACCUGAUGGCAGUACACUUGAGGUAAUAACUCCAGCUUCUUACAUUGUGCGAUUGUCAAGCAGCAUGUUAUCGUAAUCAAAUAGCCAUCAAGUUCUUGAAAUUCUUCUGGUUCUGUCUGGCGAUUAUGGUCUUGCGGAUCUCUCUAACAAAAACUUGGAGUUACGCUGCUGCUCAAGUGAAGAAGGCAAUGGAGGUGACACAUUACUUGGGCGGUGAAAACUACGUUUUCUGCUACUCAGGAAGCUGCGUCUCACUUAGAAGCGUUGGGUUGUGUAUUGACAGAGGUUUCUCUUUUUCAAAUUUCUUUGUCUCUGUUUUUCAUUUUGUAUGUUUUUUAUUGUGUCCUGAGAUUUCAGUUGGUAAAUUAAUAGGUCUCUCUUCCUUCGUUCUCCCUUGGACUAGCAGCUUAUGUAACUUCAAUAUUCAUGUAUCAAAUGUACAAUAAAAAUUGAUUAUUAUA
This is a long non-coding RNA of Camelina sativa (false flax), 1118 nucleotides long. RefSeq lists it as uncharacterized. The record is from RefSeq and is a predicted model, not a curated record. NCBI's taxonomy places the organism in Eukaryota, Viridiplantae, Streptophyta, Magnoliopsida, Brassicales, Brassicaceae.